RNAcentral lists this ribosomal RNA (301 nucleotides) under uncultured bacterium. RNAcentral describes it as "bacterial SSU rRNA". It matches the Rfam family "Bacterial small subunit ribosomal RNA", at positions 334 to 652 of the family's 1533-position model. The record is from RNAcentral.
GAGCCCUACGGGACGCAGCAGUAGGGAAUAUUGCUCAAUGGGGGAAACCCUGAAGCAGCAACGCCGCGUGGAGGAUGAAGGUUUUCGGAUUGUAAACUCCUUUUGUUAGAGAAGAUAAUGACGGUAUCUAACGAAUAAGCACCGGCUAACUCCGUGCCAGCAGCCGCGGUAAUACGUAGGUGGCAAGCGUUGUCCGGAUUUACUGGGUGUAAAGGGCGUGCAGCCGGGCGGACAAGUCAGAUGUGAAAUCCCGCGGCUCAACCGCGGAACUGCAUUUGAAACUGUCAGUCUUGAGUACCGG